UUUCUGCGGGGAAGCAGCAGUGAGGAAUUUUUCACAAUGGACGAAAGUCUGAUGGAGCAAUACCACGUGAACGAUGAAGGUCUUCUGAUUGUAAAGUUCUUUUAUUUAGGAAAAAAAAGCGCGCUAGGAAAUGAGCGCGCCUUGAUGGUACUAAUUGAAUAAGUGACAGCUAACUAUGUGCCAGCAGCUGCGGUAAAACAUAGGUCACAAGCAUUAUCCGGAUUUAUUGGGCGUAAAGGAAGCGUAGGCGGGGAGGCUGAUCCAUUGUUAAAGGCAUUUGCUCAACAAAUGUGUGCGAUGGAGAUCUCCUCCCUAGAGUUAAUCAGGGGGUACUGGAAUUCAAUGUGUAGCGGUGGAAUGCGUAGAUAUAUUGAGGAACACCAGAGGCUAAGGCGAGUACCUGGGAUAUAACUGACGCUGAGGCUUGAAAGCGUGGGGAGCAAAUGGGAUUAGAUACCCCAGUAGUCCACGCCGUAAACGAUGAGCAUUAGGUAUUUGAUGUUAGGACGAGUGCUGUAGCUAACGCGUUAAAUGCUCCGCCUGGGUAGUAUAUAUGCAAAUAUGAAACUCAAAGAAAUUGACGGGGACCUGAACAAGUGGUGGAGCAUGUUGCUUAAUUCGAUAAUACACGAAAAACCUUACCAAGGCUUGUUAUCUACUGCAAAACUAUAGAAAUAUGGUGGAGUAUAUCAGUAAGACAGGUGGUGCAUGGCUGUCGUCAGCUCGUGUCUUGAGAUGUUUGGUUAAGUCCCGUAACGAGCGCAACCCUACUCUCUAGUUAAUUAGUUCUAGAGUGACUGAAUCGUAAGAUAUAGGAAGGAUGGGGCCAAGUCAAGUCAUCAUGCCCCUUAUGCCUUGGGCUGCAAACGUGCUACAAUGGUAGGUACAAUGUGUUGCAAUCUAGCGAUAGUGAGCUAAUCACCGAAAACCUAUCCUCAGUCCCCGGAUWAAAA
RNAcentral lists this ribosomal RNA (953 nucleotides) under uncultured Mycoplasma sp. RNAcentral describes it as "bacterial SSU rRNA". It matches the Rfam family "Bacterial small subunit ribosomal RNA", at positions 335 to 1310 of the family's 1533-position model. The record is from RNAcentral. Lineage: Bacteria; Bacillati; Mycoplasmatota; Mollicutes; Mycoplasmatales; Mycoplasmataceae.